GAUGAACGCUAGCGGCAGGCCUAACACAUGCAAGUCGAGGGAGAAGCCCUUUCGGGGGCAGAAACCGGCGCACGGGUGCGUAACGCGUAUGCAACCUACCUUUCACAGGGGGAUAGCCCGAAGAAAUUUGGAUUAAUACCCCAUAAUAUUGUUGGAUGGCAUCAUUUGGCAUUUAAAGCUACGACGGUGGAAGAUGGGCAUGCGUCCUAUUAGCUAGUUGGAGUGGUAACGGCACCCCAAGGCUACGAUAGGUAGGGGUCCUGAGAGGGAGAUCCCCCACACUGGUACUGAGACAGGGACCAGACUCCUACGGGAGGCAGCAGUGAGGAAUAUUGGUCAAUGGUCGGAAGACUGAACCAGCCAUGCCGCGUGCAGGAAGAAUGCCUUAUGGGUUGUAAACUGCUUUUAUAUGGGAAGAAUAAGGUGUACG
Molecule: ribosomal RNA, 430 nt
Filed under: Capnocytophaga gingivalis
Lineage: Bacteria; Pseudomonadati; Bacteroidota; Flavobacteriia; Flavobacteriales; Flavobacteriaceae
Description: bacterial SSU rRNA
Rfam family: Bacterial small subunit ribosomal RNA
Source: RNAcentral